GGACGUUCCCGAGCAGGCCGCUGCCGUCCAGGAGGACGUGUCCAAGGUUCCCGAGGCUGUGCCCGAUGCCGAGGCGGUGUUCGAAGCGGUGCCUGAUGCGGUGGCCGAGGCGGUUCCCGAUGCAAUGUCCGAUGCCGAGGCGGUGCCCGAUGCCGAGGCGGUGCCCGAUGCCGAGGCGGUGCCCGAUGCCGAGGCGGUGCCUGAUGCGGUGGCCGAGGCGGUUCCCGAUGCCGAGGCGGUGCCCGAGGCGGUGCCCGAUGCCGAGGCGGUGCCCGAUGCGGUUCCCGAGGCGGUGCCCGAUGCCGAGGCGGUGACCGAUGCCGUUCCGGAGGUCGAGGCGGUGCCCGAUGUUGUUCCGCAGGUCGAGGCGGUGCCCGAGGCGGUGCCCGAUGCCGAGGCUGUGCCCGAUGCCGAGCCCGAGGCCGUUUCCGAGGCGGUGCCCGAUGCCGAGCCCGAGGCCGUUCCCGAGGCGGUGCCCUUGUCCAAUGCCGUUCCUGAGGCCAUUCCUGAGGCCGUUCCUGAGACCGUUCCCGAGGCGGUGCCCGAUGCCAAGGUCGUUCCCGAGGCGGUGUCCUUGUCCGAUGCCGUUCCUGAGGCCAUUCCCGAGGCGGUGCCCGAUGCUGUUCCGGAGGCCGAUGCGGGGCCCGAGAUGGUUCCGGAGGCGAUACCCGUGUCCAAGGCCGUUCCCGAGGCGGUGCCCUUGUCUGAGGCCGUUCCCGAUGCCGUUCCCAAUGCCGUGACCUGGCCAUCGCCACAGCCUGCUCCUUACUGGCUCCCCGAUUGGCAGGUUCCGUUCGGGCCACUCAAAUGGCGAAUUCCUCCCUGGCCGUCUGCACAACGAGAAUGGACUGAUCCACCGUGGCC
Molecule: long non-coding RNA, 864 nt
Organism: Cyprinus carpio carpio
Lineage: Eukaryota; Metazoa; Chordata; Actinopteri; Cypriniformes; Cyprinidae
Source: Ensembl